UAUCUUGCCUUACUGCUCGGCCAUGCCGCCAAAACGAUAUAUAGCAAAUAAAAAGCUAUGAAAAAGUUAUCCUUUUGUCUUCUUAUUUAUCGUACUAUAGUUUGUAUUUUGAAUCUUAAUCCCGUUUUUCUUAAUUCCUUUUCUAAGAAAUCUUUUUUUUUUUGUUUGGGUUCGAUCUAUCCCUUCGAUUGAUUGUAUAGUAUCUUAAAAAUUCAUAACAAACUGGAACCCCUAACUAUUAAUUCAUGAAUGAUUUGUAAAUCCCAGAACAUAAAUUGGUACACAAUAUUAUCUAAUGGAGUAGUUUAUCUGUAUACGAUGUCCAUAAGUAAUUUUCAGGAAAUUCUCAUGUUUCCGUUUUAUUUUUACCAUUUUUUUAUAGCAAUUCUGAUCGAGCAUGACAUGUACUGUCAAGAAUAGGGCUAGAAUAAAGGAGAGACAAGAUAUAUGUAUAUCAAGACAUACGUAUAUAUCUGUUUGCCUCAAAAAUCGUCUCGGCCUUUAAGAGAGGCCGAGGGAUCUUGCGGUCUAAUUGUCCUUAUAGAUUGCGGGCGUGCCAACUUGCGGCUUGUUGGCCAAGCGAGGUUUUGAUUGAUAUUUUUACGCUUGAUCUGACAGCUUUCAAGAGAUUGUUGGCCGAGGAAGGAACUAUCUCGGCCUUUAGGUUCUCUUGCCUUUGUUGCAAGGACUUUCAGCGUUUUCACUGAUAAUGGUUCUCUUUUUUUGUUUUUCGAUAUAGAUUUGCGAGAAGUAAAGUGUAGAAAGUAAGGAACGAAAUUUAAAGUAAAUGUGAGAACUUAAACUGCAUGAAAUUUAAAGAGGCGGAAUAGUAAAUUGCAUGAAACUAAAAUGAAUAACAUAAAGAAAGCAAUAAAAAGAAGAAGAAAACUAUACUAGAACAAAAGAACGUAAAGAAAACGAUAAAAAUAAGUAUAAAGCUAUGCUAGAACAAGAAUAAAGAUGAUUGAUAUUUGAAGAGAAUUCAUAGAGAAUUUGUGUUUGUAUUGAGUUGAAUUGUGUUGGUCGGGGACCAUUUACAAUGAGGUUGAGGGUCAAAUAUAUACAACUACAAACAUACAAUUAAGGAAAGAGAAUAAAAUUAAAUAAAUAAAUUUCAAUCAUAUUUAAAUCACCCUUUAAUGCUUCCAAUUAGCCAUAAAUCUUCAUAAAUCACCCUUUACCAUAUUUACUUCCUUCUUGAGGCAUCGUCGCAAUUGAUUUGCGAUAUAAUCUUUAGAGAAAUUCGUCUGAAUGGUAUACGA
Molecule: long non-coding RNA, 1262 nt
Filed under: Fragaria vesca (wild strawberry)
Lineage: Eukaryota; Viridiplantae; Streptophyta; Magnoliopsida; Rosales; Rosaceae
Description: long non-coding RNA (FVES_LNC002584)
Source: RNAcentral